UAUAAUUAUCCAGUAGCAUAAACAAACUAACUAUGGCUAUUAAUAGGCUGGUAGUGAGUGCCGGUGUCACUGCAGCCCCGCGCUCCAACAUGUCGCCAGCUACGGCCUUCGUCAUCGCCACCUUAGCUAUGGUGGCGUCUUUGGCAGGUGCCGCUUAUCAUGAAAGUUAUCGCAACCAUUUUUGUGUAGCAAUAAUCGGUUAAUGGCCUCUUCCUUGAAAAAAUAUUUUGAAAGAGUAUGAAUGGACUGGUAGAAUAUGCUUACAGCAUUAAGUCCACCCUUUGUACACCAAUUUUUACAUUUGUUCAAUAAAAAAUAAAUAAAUAAAUAAAAAUAUUUAUAACAAUGUAUUUUUUCAUGUAUUUUUUGCCGUUUCAGUUUUGUACGAUACCGAUAGAUGGACGUUUAUCUUAAGCCAAUUAUUUGGAUAACUUAUCUACGUACCUAAUAUGUGUUUUUCUUUUGCUAUGAACGAUGCAGCGUUUCUCAAAAAACAAACUUAAUUAUUAAGUUUACCGACUAUAAUUACCCACCUCAGCAUAAACAAACUGAACACCGCUUUUAAUAAGGCUUGUAGUGAGUGCAACGUGUCACUGCAGCCAUGUCCACCAUGCCGCUAGCAGCCCUUGUCAUCACCGCCUUAGCUAUGGUGGCGUCUUUGGCAGCGGCCGCUUAUCAUGAAAGUUAUCGCGAUCACAUUUGUGUAACAACAUUAUUAUUACUCAGUUAAUGACCACUUCCGUAUAUUAUAUAUUUUGAAAGACAGUUUAAAU
This is a long non-coding RNA of Plutella xylostella (diamondback moth), 773 nucleotides long. RefSeq lists it as uncharacterized. The record is from RefSeq and is a predicted model, not a curated record. Lineage: Eukaryota; Metazoa; Arthropoda; Insecta; Lepidoptera; Plutellidae.